This 497-nucleotide ribosomal RNA is filed under the name uncultured bacterium. RNAcentral describes it as "partial 16S ribosomal RNA". It matches the Rfam family "Bacterial small subunit ribosomal RNA", at positions 28 to 507 of the family's 1533-position model. The record is from RNAcentral.
GAUGAACGCUGGCGGCGUGCCUAAUACAUGCAAGUCGAGCGAACGGACGAGAAGCUUGCUUCUCUGAUGUUAGCGGCGGACGGGUGAGUAACACGUGGAUAACCUACCUAUAAGACUGGGAUAACUUCGGGAAACCGGAGCUCAUACCGGAUAAUAUUUUGAACCGCAUGGUUCAAAAGUGAAAGACGGUCUUGCUGUCACUUAUAGAUGGAUCCGCGCUGCAUUAGCUAGUUGGUAAGGUAACGGCUUACCAAGGCAACGAUGCAUAGACGACCUGAGAGGGUGGUUGCCCACACUGGAACUGAGACACGGUCCAGACUCCUACGGGAGGCAGCAGUAGGGAAUCUUCCGCAAAGGGCGAAAGCCUGACGGAGCAACGCCGCGUGAGUGAUGAAGGUCUUCGGAUCGUAAAACUCUGUUAUUAGGGAAGAACAUAUGUGUAAGUAAAUGUGCACAUCUUGACGGUACCUAAUCAGAAAGCCACGGCUAACUACGUG